RNAcentral lists this ribosomal RNA (497 nucleotides) under uncultured bacterium. Its description in RNAcentral is "partial 16S ribosomal RNA". It matches the Rfam family "Bacterial small subunit ribosomal RNA", at positions 28 to 507 of the family's 1533-position model. The record is from RNAcentral.
GAUGAACGCUGGCGGCGUGCCUAAUACAUGCAAGUCGAGCGAACAGAUAAGGAGCUUGCUCCUUUGACGUUGGCGGCGGACGGGUGAGUAACACGUGGGUAACCUACCUAUAAGACUGGAAUAACUCCGGGAAACCGGGGCUAAUGCCGGAUAACAUUUAGAACCGCAUGGUUCUAAAGUGAAAGAUGGUUUUGCUAUCACUUAUAGAUGGACCCGCGCCGUAUUAGCUAGUUGGUAAGGUAACGGCUUACCAAGGCAACGAUACGUAGCCGACCUGAGAGGGUGAUCGGCCACACUGGAACUGAGACACGGUCCAGACUCCUACGGGAGGCAGCAGUAGGGAAUCUUCCGCAAAGGGCGAAAGCCUGACGGAGCAACGCCGCGUGAGUGAUGAAGGUCUUCGGAUCGUAAAACUCUGUUAUUAGGGAAGAACAAAUGUGUAAGUAACUGUGCACGUCUUGACGGUACCUAAUCAGAAAACCACGGCUAACUACGUG